GAUGAACGCUGGCGGCGUGCCUAAUACAUGCAAGUCGAGCGAACAGAUGAGGAGCUUGCUCCUCUGACGUUAGCGGCGGACGGGUGAGGAACACGUGGAUAACCUACCUAUAAGACUGGGAUAACUUCGGGAAACCGGAACUAGUACCGGAUAAUAUAUUGAACCGCAUGGUUCAAUAGUGAAAGACGGUUUUGCUGUCACUUAUAGAUGUAUCCGCGCCGCAUUAGCUAGUUGGUAAGGUAACGGCUUACCAAGGCAACGAUGCGUAGCCGACCUGAGAGGGUGAUCGGCCCCAAUGGCAAUGAGCCACGGUCCCGACUCCUACGGGAGGCAGCAGCAGGGAAUCUUCCGCAAUGGGCGAAAUCCUGACGGAGCAACGCAGCGCGAGUGAUGAAGGUCUUCGGAUCGUAAAACUCUGUUAUUAGGGAAGAACAAAUGUGUAAGUAACUAUGCACGUCUUGACGGUACCUACUCAGAAAGCAACGGCUAACUACGUG
Molecule: ribosomal RNA, 497 nt
Filed under: uncultured bacterium
Lineage: Bacteria
Description: partial 16S ribosomal RNA
Rfam family: Bacterial small subunit ribosomal RNA
Source: RNAcentral